RNAcentral lists this ribosomal RNA (352 nucleotides) under uncultured soil bacterium. RNAcentral's name for it is "bacterial SSU rRNA". It matches the Rfam family "Bacterial small subunit ribosomal RNA", at positions 26 to 377 of the family's 1533-position model. The record is from RNAcentral.
AGAUUGAACGCUGGCGGCAUGCCUAACACAUGCAAGUCGAACGGCAGCGCGGGUAGCAAUACCUGGCGGCGAGUGGCGGACGGGUGAGGAAUACAUAGGAAUCUACCCUGUCGUGGGGGAUAACGUAGGGAAACUUACGCUAAUACCGCAUACGACCGAGAGGUGAAAGCGGCGGACCGCAAGGCGUCGCGCGGCUGGAUGAGCCUAUGUCCGAUUAGCUAGUUGGCGGGGUAAGAGCCCACCAAGGCACGAUCGGUAGCUGGUCUGAGAGGAUGAUCAGCCACACGUGGGACUGAGACACGGCCCUAGACUCCUACGGGAGCCAGCAGUGGGGAAUAGUGGACUAAGUGGG